RNAcentral lists this transfer RNA (73 nucleotides) under Pseudobdellovibrionaceae bacterium. RNAcentral describes it as "Bdellovibrionaceae bacterium tRNA-Lys". It matches the Rfam family "tRNA". From Rfam's summary of the family: Transfer RNA (tRNA) molecules are approximately 80 nucleotides in length. The record is from RNAcentral. Lineage: Bacteria; Pseudomonadati; Bdellovibrionota; Bdellovibrionia; Bdellovibrionales; Pseudobdellovibrionaceae.
GCCUCCUUAGCUCAGUUGGAAGAGCGUGUGACUUUUAAUCUCAAGGUCGCGGGAUCGAAACCCGCAGGGGGCU